AUAUUGCACAAUGGGCGCAAGCCUGAUGCAGCCAUGCCGCGUGUAUGAAGAAGGCCUUCGGGUUGUAAAGUACUUUCUGCGGGGAGGAAGGCGAUCAGGUUAAUAACCUUGUCGAUUGACGUUACCCGCAGAAGAAGCACCGGCUAACUCCGUGCCAGCAGCCGCGGUAAUACGGAGGGUGCAAGCGUUAAUCGGAAUUACUGGGCGUCAAGCGCACGCAGGCGGUCUGUGAAGUCGGAUGUGAAAUCCGCGGGCUCAACCUGGGAACUGCAUUCGAAGCUGGCAGGCUAGAGUCUUGUAGAGGGGGGUAGAAUUCCAGGUGUAGCGGUGAAAUGCGUAGAGAUCUGGAGGAAUACCGGUGGCGAAGGCGGCCCCCUGAACAAAGACUGACGCUCAGGUGCGAAAGCGUGGGGAGCAAAC
Molecule: ribosomal RNA, 420 nt
Filed under: uncultured bacterium
Lineage: Bacteria
Description: bacterial SSU rRNA
Rfam family: Bacterial small subunit ribosomal RNA
Source: RNAcentral